CUUGGUUCAAAGCAAGACACACCAUCCCUACUAAUAUUGAAAACAGUUUCUUAUUUUAGAUAUUUUCUGACGGAAAAUUUGAUAAAAAUCAUCAAAUAUGCACAAGGUAGAAGGACGGGGCCAUGAGUCUAGUUGUAAGAGCCCAGAAGCAGAUGUUCUACGUCUACAUUUAACCAAAUCGUGGACAAGACCUGCACUUCUGGCUGAAUGAUGCAUCAGCUUGGACCCAAUUCAUGCACUGCAGAGUUUAGGGCUUCAAACAUAUCAAGGAGACAGAUGAACUUGACAUGAACAACAAGAAACGUGCAUUUUUUUAAGAUCCGGAAUAACAUCACGAGCAGCUUUCUACGAAAUGCAAGGAAUAAACAUGGGGAAUUUUCAUAUUUCAAGUCAUUUUGCUUAAAUUGAAUGACCAAGCAUGUGGUUCUGCGCUCGUCAUGCUUCAGGCUUCCAGCAAAAUCUAAGGAACACAUCGAGGAAAUGUCGUCACCUUUUCUAAAACCUACAAGGUAGAAUACAUAGACAGAUUUGCACUAAAGGGGGAUCUAACAAUUGAGCUGGGUUCCCCCCCAUCAUUGUACAGCAUUUUCGUAUUAUGUACAAGAGUGCAGAGAUUUCAGAUA
This is a long non-coding RNA of Populus trichocarpa (black cottonwood), 623 nucleotides long. RefSeq lists it as uncharacterized. NCBI's taxonomy places the organism in Eukaryota, Viridiplantae, Streptophyta, Magnoliopsida, Malpighiales, Salicaceae. The transcript has 2 exons. The record is from RefSeq and is a predicted model, not a curated record.